UUUCCGUAGGUGAACCUGCGGAAGGAUCAUUAAAGAGAAUAUGCCCUUCGGGGUAGAUCUCCCACCCUUCGUUUAUAUUACCUUUGUUGCUUUGGCAGGCCCGUCUUCGGACCACCGGCUUCGGCUGGUCAGUGCUUGCCAGAGGACCCAAAACUCCUAUUAUUAAUGUCGUCUGAGUACUAUAUAAUAGUUAAAACUUUCAACAACGGAUCUCUUGGUUCUG
Molecule: unclassified non-coding RNA, 223 nt
Filed under: plant metagenome
Description: partial contains small subunit ribosomal RNA, internal transcribed spacer 1, and 5.8S ribosomal RNA
Source: RNAcentral